CCCGUCACAUCACGAAAGUGGAUUGUACUAGAAGUCUGCGCGCUAACCCGCAAGGGAGGCAGCGGCCCAAGGUAUGAUUCAUGAUUGGGUG
This 91-nucleotide ribosomal RNA is filed under the name uncultured bacterium. RNAcentral describes it as "partial 16S ribosomal RNA". The record is from RNAcentral.